This 253-nucleotide ribosomal RNA is filed under the name uncultured bacterium. RNAcentral describes it as "partial 16S ribosomal RNA". It matches the Rfam family "Bacterial small subunit ribosomal RNA", at positions 524 to 776 of the family's 1533-position model. The record is from RNAcentral.
UACGUAGGGUGCGAGCGUUGUCCGGAAUUACUGGGCGUAAAGAGCUCGUAGGUGGUUUGUCGCGUUGUUCGUGAAAACUCACAGCUCAACUGUGGGCGUGCAGGCGAUACGGGCAGACUAGAGUACUGCAGGGGAGACUGGAAUUCCUGGUGUAGCGGUGGAAUGCGCAGAUAUCAGGAGGAACACCGGUGGCGAAGGCGGGUCUCUGGGCAGUAACUGACGCUGAGGAGCGAAAGCGUGGGGAGCGAACAGG